This is a long non-coding RNA of Xiphophorus couchianus (Monterrey platyfish), 2910 nucleotides long. RefSeq lists it as uncharacterized. Lineage: Eukaryota; Metazoa; Chordata; Actinopteri; Cyprinodontiformes; Poeciliidae. The transcript is spliced from 4 exons. The record is from RefSeq and is a predicted model, not a curated record.
AAGAAGAAAAAUACGCAAAUAUAAAAAUGUGUUUUUGAAUUAACUUCUGAUGACGAAGCUUAUUUGAUAUUAUUCUAAGUAAUAAGCUAUCAGUAAAAAUGGGGAGACGGAAGCAACGCGUUUUGGGCCAGUUAAUGAGACAAAAGAGAUGAUGACUUAUUAAUCAGAAGAUUCGUUUGGUGUAUUUUUAAUUAUUUAAAUUUUUUUUUUUUGCUUUAAAGAUACAUCUCUUAACCUCAGGGAUUAGAAGGCAGAAGUCCAACUGUGCAAGUCCUUUCAUGUCAGUCUCAUGAAAGCAGUUCAUGCUUCAUCUGCGAUACUUUGGACGCUCUUGCAUACACAAAUACACACCAUCUUUGAUCAUCCACACAGAAAGCAGCCUCUUUGAUGUUAUACCCUGACAUGCUACGGCUAUAUAUCGCUCCAUCAUAACCAGGCCAACAUGCAGAAGAUCCUGUUUAAUUUGCAAAAUGCAUGUCUGCAACAGGUACAUCUAAAUAAAUUGGAAUGAUAUAAAAUUCUAUAUUCUUGUCACUCAUUUCAGAAACUGAUGCACUACACAGAGUGAAAUAUUCUGAGCCUUUAUUUCCUGUGAUUUGUAGUCCUUUAGUGGGAUUUAUCUGUGUAAGCCAGAAAAGUUACGAGAAAGUAAUGAAUCUACAGAAUGAGUUUCACUUCCUGAAAAUGUUCAGCGUUGAGUCUCACCAACAAUAUUUAUAUGAUGUUACUCACACUUUGUACACUAGUAAAUGUAGAUUAACCCUCUCUUUCUAUCAGCUCUUAGAAGUUCUUCUUUUCGUGUCAAAGGAAGACAUCAUGACAGCCUGAUUCUGCCACUGCCAUGCUUAACAAUGAGUGGUACAUUUAUAUCUCAAGCUAUAAAUAUCUCAGGUUUAUUUAUAGCUUGAGAUAUUAUUUUAUGGCACUAAUUCAGUUUAAACAUCUCAGAAACUUUCUCUCUAACCCAUCCGGUCUGUCCGUUGGUCUUCAUGACGACGUUUGGGACAUUCACAUCGUAUUAACGCUGUUUUCUCCAAGGCGCCCACUCGGUGUUUACAGACAUCGAGUGGGCGCAGUGUCGUCACUUAGACAACUACCCAUUAAUCUCGUAGAUUUGGAGAUCAAGACUGGUUUGGCAGGAUUAGGAAUAUCUGUGUGACAGCUCGGCUUAAACGGACGUGGCAAAGAGAGACGCUGGGUGUAUUAGGUGGACUACUGCAUGAUAUGGCAGAGAGAAAACCUGGGGAAGAGAGAAGGAUGUGCAGAUGUCUGGUGCGUCGAAGAAAGAUGCAGAGGACAGCCGGAAUAGAAGUCUUCAUAAACCAAUCUCUUGUAUUGAAUUUAUUAUCGACCGUUUUGAUUGAAUUACUCAUGAUUUAAGAAAGCAAUCUGAGGGGAAAUGAGCACGGGGCUCCAGUAAGUUGACAGUGGGGACUGAGUGGUUUUUCAUGCUAAAUAUAAACUGGAAUUUGUUAAGCAGCACACCUCUAAAGUCUCAGGCAUAAAUUCUCGAAAUGUGGCGUUCCGCGUAGUUUUUAUGUUCUGUUCAUUUCAAAUAUCGGGCACUAAAUGUUGCCUGGACUGCAGAGAUGGAGACUCGAGUCAAACAUCAGUCGCAAAAAAAAAGGCUUCAGACUUGACAUGGACUCUGGCACUCUGGUUUCAUAUCCCACAUAAUCAAGAUUGACUUUUACUUUUUGUUUCUGUCGAGUAUCUUUCUGACCAAGAUUCGUAUAUCCUGUAAAACGGAGCGUGUAACAACCGGAGAGGUUUGUGGACCAUCAGCAAUUUUACUUUGUAAAAGCCUUACAUUUUGCUGUGGCAUUUUCAUAAUGACCACCGUCACAAGUGACUUCACAGCCAUUUCAGAGUGAAAUAAAUGUAACUUCACUCAAACAUUUUAACUGUUGCUCUUAAGCUAUUAAGAGAGAUGCAUCUUGUUCUUUAAAAAUAAAAGCAAAUCCUGCUUGAUUCAAUACGAAAUUCAACAAUGACAAGGUUUCUUUCAAUAUAAUUUUACAUUUUAGAAGUGGGAUAAAUACAACCUUACUUAAUUUUCAAAAGUAAUUUACUUUUUUUAUGUUGAACUGAAUGCUCUGAACUCUCCGCCUCCCCCCCAAAAAAUAUUAAAUGUUCAACCUUUUCUACUAGAUACAGUCUCGUAAUAUACAAAAAAGGUGAAGAUGCUCAUGAUGCUGUAUCAUAACUGUAAGGAGAAAUCAAAAGAUAGUAACUUAUUUAAAAAAUGCAAGAAAGAAUAUUAACAGCCUGUCAAUUUAUCUUUUUUUUACAUUUAUUUAUGUUUUGUGCUUUUCUGUACACUUUCCAGAGAAUCUCCCUGCUUUUGGAAAGGUGCAGUCAUGUCUUUUCAAGUGAAUCCGGGGUGUUGGACCUUCUGUGGCCUUAACCAAAAUUUUUUUUUAAGUUCCACAUUAAGGCUUGACGUAUCGCAGCUGCGUUCGAGCUACGAGAGAGACAGAAAGCUGGAUGAGAGACAGGAGAGGAAAGUACCUUAUUCCCCGCUGUUAUAGCUCCAGUGGGAGGCGGACCUACUUCUUUGUGUUCUCCUCCAAGUGAUUCACAUGGCUGGAGGCUUUGCUCUCGGACCUCUGAAACAACACCACCACCACCACCAUCAUCAUCAUCAUCAUCAUGGGAGGGAUGAAAGUACACUGACAAUGUUGGACUAUACCCACAGCUCUGCCCAGAAACCGUGGAGCUGCGUGGCCUGCCCAGUGAUACGCGGAAACAAACAAGGUCCAAGCAAGCAAGGACAAACCAGACGACCUAUGGGGAUGAAGAGAGGGUGAAGCUGGUCUGAAUUCAGCGCGUCGUUUCCGAGGGACACUCUGAACCUCUUGCUGCAGUCUGCAGGGAGUGAGCGGAACCAAAUGUUCCCACAUGAUCGGG